Molecule: ribosomal RNA, 436 nt
Filed under: uncultured Anaerovorax sp.
Lineage: Bacteria; Bacillati; Bacillota; Clostridia; Peptostreptococcales; Anaerovoracaceae
Description: partial 16S ribosomal RNA
Rfam family: Bacterial small subunit ribosomal RNA
Source: RNAcentral
ACGGGAGGCAGCAGUGGGGAAUAUUGCACAAUGGAGGAAACUCUGAUGCAGCAACGCCGCGUGAGCGAUGAAGGUCUUCGGAUCGUAAAGCUCUGUCCUUAGGGACGAAGAAAGUGACGGUACCUAAGGAGGAAGCCCCGGCUAACUACGUGCCAGCAGCCGCGGUAAUACGUAGGGGGCGAGCGUUAUCCGGAAUUAUUGGGCGUAAAGAGUACGUAGGUGGUUUUGUAAGCGUAAGGUGAAGGCCCGGGGCUUAACUCCGGUUAGCCUUACGAACUGCAAGACUUGAGUGCAGGAGGGGAAAGUGGAAUUCCUAGUGUAGCGGUGAAAUGCGUAGAUAUUAGGAGGGACACCAGUGGCGAAGGCGGCUUGCUGGACGACAACUGACGCUGAGGCGCGAAAGCGUGGGGAGCAAACAGGAUUAGAUACCCUGGUA